GCCUGCAGCCAUAUCACCCUGCAACUCACAACUGGCAACCCACUGAAGCUAAGCAGGUGUGAGCCUGGUCAGUACCUGGAUGGGAGACUGGGAGACCUCCUGGGAAAAACUACGGUUGCUGCUGGAA
RNAcentral lists this ribosomal RNA (127 nucleotides) under Lepisosteus oculatus (spotted gar). The record is from RNAcentral. Lineage: Eukaryota; Metazoa; Chordata; Actinopteri; Semionotiformes; Lepisosteidae.